RNAcentral lists this long non-coding RNA (760 nucleotides) under Homo sapiens (human). RNAcentral describes it as "non-protein coding lnc-SSX4B-1:1". Lineage: Eukaryota; Metazoa; Chordata; Mammalia; Primates; Hominidae. The record is from RNAcentral.
AUGUUUUCCAAACUAGCACAUUUGCGGAGGUUUGCUGUACUUAGUCGUGGAGUUCAUUCUUCAGUGGCUUCUACAUCUGUUGGAACUAAAAAAACAGUCCAAGGCCCUCCAACCUCUAUUUUUGGAAGGGAAUGUAAGUGUGGUGCGCACAAUUACCAUCCUUUACCUGUAGCCCUGGAGAGAGGAAAAUGUAUUUACUUAUGGGAUGUGGUUCUGUUUAUUGUUGAUGAAAUACAGACAGGAGUGGCCAGAACUGGUAGAUGGCUGGCUGUUGAUCAUGAAAAUGUCAGACCUGAUAUAGUCCUCCUUGGAAAGGCCCUUUCUGGGGGCUGAUACUCUGUGUCUGCGGUGCUGUGGAAUGAUAACAUAAUGCUGACCAUUAAGCCAGGGGAACGUGGGUCCACAUACGGUGGCAAUCCACUAGGCUGCCAAGUGGCCAUCGCAGCCCUUGAAGUUUUAGAAGAAGAAAACCUUGCUGAAAAUGCAGAAACAAUGGGUAUUCUCCUGAGAAAUGAACCCAUGAAGCUACCUUCUGAUGUUGUAACUGUUGUAAGAAGAAAAUAAUUAUUAAAUGCUAUUGUUAUUAAAGAAACCAAAGAUUGUGCUGCUUGGAAAGUGUGUGUCUAAGACUUCGAGAUAAUGGACUUCUGGCCAAGCCAACCCAUGGCGACAUCAUCAGGUUUCACCUCUGCUGGUGGUCAAGGAGGAUGAGAUUCCAGGGUCAAUUGUUAUCAUUAACAAGACCAUCUUGUCGUUCUGA